Long non-coding RNA from Xiphophorus couchianus (Monterrey platyfish), 681 nucleotides. RefSeq lists it as uncharacterized. The transcript has 2 exons. The record is from RefSeq and is a predicted model, not a curated record. NCBI's taxonomy places the organism in Eukaryota, Metazoa, Chordata, Actinopteri, Cyprinodontiformes, Poeciliidae.
GCUCAACUCUUGGAGCUUGCAAAAGUCCGGGAGGGGUGACGAGGUCAUCUUCUUUAGAGUUUUGGUGAUUCGUUUUGCCCUACAGCGACCUCAGCGUGUUACAUGACUGCAAACAGUGAAGCCUGAGUGGCAGAUUGCAUGACUCCAAAGCUACAAGAUCCUCUCAUUUACAGAAGCUACAGCGCGCGCGCGAAUACACGUGCACCUUCGUGCGGGCAAUGAGGACUACAGCCUUCGCGUGACUUAACCAAGCAGAUUUAGGAUUGUCCAGAAGACGGAGACCCUCCCCUCUGGACGGCAGCUCCGCUUCUCACGCAACCUGCUGCACCAGAGGGGUAGCGCCGGAGCGCACGGAGAAAGAAACCCUGCAGAUUCAACACAUGCAUCAACCCCCAGGGGAUCGGGACAGCGCUGUUCAGCGCGGACCGGAGGGAAUUGGCGAACAAAUUAAGUUAUGACUUUUGGACGUUAUUCAAAAGAAAAAGUCUCAUUUUCCUUGAGAGUUGUGCCCAAGGCCGUUGGAUCUUGGUGCACAAACUGUCUAUUAAGAAAAAAAAGAGUCACAUUAUUAUUAAGAAUGUGAAGGGAAGUAAAAGAGAUAAACGAGAUAUAACGCCCUCCGUCGGCAAAAUCCUAUUUUAGCAGUCUUUUGAAAUAAGCAAAGUAAAUAUUCCCAUCUGA